AGAGUUUGAUCAUGGCUCAGGAUGAACGCUAGCGGCAAGCUUAACACAUGCAAGUCGAGGGGUAUAGUAGCAAUACUAGAGACCGGCGCACGGGUGCGUAACGCGUAUGCAAUCUACCUUUUGCAGAGGGAUAGCCCAGAGAAAUUUGGAUUAAUACCUCAUAGUAUAUAGAGUUGGCAUCAACAUUAUAUUAAAGUCACAACGGCAAAAGAUGAGCAUGCGUCCCAUUAGCUAGUUGGUAAGGUAACGGCUUACCAAGGCAACGAUGGGUAGGGGUCCUGAGAGGGAGAUCCCCCACACUGGUACUGAGACACGGACCAGACUCCUACGGGAGGCAGCAGUGAGGAAUAUUGGACAAUGGGCGCAAGCCUGAUCCAGCCAUGCCGCGUGCAGGAUGACGGUCCUAUGGGAUUGUAAACUGCUUUUAUACGAGAAGAAACAUCCCGACGUGUCGGGACUUGACGGUAUCGUAAGAAUAAGGAUCGGCUAACUCCGUGCCAGCAGCCGCGGUAAUACGGAGGAUCCAAGCGUUAUCCGGAAUCCUUGGGUUUAAAGGGUCC
RNAcentral lists this ribosomal RNA (560 nucleotides) under uncultured Flavobacteriia bacterium. Its description in RNAcentral is "bacterial SSU rRNA". It matches the Rfam family "Bacterial small subunit ribosomal RNA", at positions 8 to 570 of the family's 1533-position model. Lineage: Bacteria; Pseudomonadati; Bacteroidota; Flavobacteriia. The record is from RNAcentral.